CUAUGCGCCUUGCCAGCCCGCUCAGGUGUGCCAGCCGCCGCGGUAAUACGUAGGUGGCAAGCGUUAUCCGGACUUAUUGGGUGUAAAGGGCGUGUAGGCGGGAAUGCAAGUCAGAUGUGAAAACUAUGGGCUCAACCCAUAGCCUGCAUUUGAAACUGUAUUUCUUGAGUGCUGGAGAGGCAAUCGGAAUUCCGUGUGUAGCGGUGAAAUGCGUAGAUAUACGGAGGAACACCAGUGGCGAAGGCGGAUUGCUGGACAGUAACUGACGCUGAGCGCGAAAGCGUGGGAGCAAACAGG
RNAcentral lists this ribosomal RNA (297 nucleotides) under uncultured bacterium. RNAcentral describes it as "partial 16S ribosomal RNA". It matches the Rfam family "Bacterial small subunit ribosomal RNA", at positions 475 to 776 of the family's 1533-position model. The record is from RNAcentral.